GAUGAACGCUGGCGGUAUGCUUAACACAUGCAAGUCGAACGGACUCUUCGGAGUUAGUGGCGGACGGGUGAGUAACGCGUGAGAAUCUGGCUUUGGGUUCGGGACAACCACUGGAAACGGUGGCUAAUACCGGAUGUGCCGAGAGGUAAAAGAGAAAUUGCCUGAAGAUGAGCUCGCGUCUGAUUAGCUAGUUGGUGAGGUAAAGGCUCACCAAGGCAGCGAUCAGUAGCUGGUCUGAGAGGAUGACCAGCCACACUGGGACUGAGACACGGCCCAGACUCCUACGGGAGGCAGCAGUGGGGAAUUUUCCGCAAUGGGCGAAAGCCCGACGGAGCAAUACCGCGUGAGGGAAGAAGGCUCUUGGGUUGUAAACCUCUUUUCUUAGGGAAGAACAAAAUGACGGUACCUAAGGAAUCAGCAUCGGCUAACUCCGU
This 434-nucleotide ribosomal RNA is filed under the name uncultured bacterium. RNAcentral describes it as "partial 16S ribosomal RNA". It matches the Rfam family "Bacterial small subunit ribosomal RNA", at positions 28 to 506 of the family's 1533-position model. The record is from RNAcentral.